This 805-nucleotide ribosomal RNA is filed under the name uncultured bacterium. RNAcentral's name for it is "bacterial SSU rRNA". It matches the Rfam family "Bacterial small subunit ribosomal RNA", at positions 135 to 942 of the family's 1533-position model. The record is from RNAcentral.
ACAGGGGGAUAGCCCGGAGAAAUCUGGAUUAAUACCCCAUGGUACAUAUUGAUGGCAUCAGAGAUAUGUUAAAGAUUCAUCGGUAUAAGAUGGGCAUGCGUCUGAUUAGCUAGUUGGCGGUGUAACGGACCACCAAGGCGACGAUCAGUAGGGGUUCUGAGAGGAAGGUCCCCCACACUGGCACUGAGAUACGGGCCAGACUCCUACGGGAGGCAGCAGUAGGGAAUAUUGGGCAAUGGUCGGAAGACUGACCCAGCCAUGCCGCGUGCAGGAAGACGGCCCUCUGGGUUGUAAACUGCUUUUAUCUGGGAAGAAAAAGGCCAUGCGUGGCAAAUUGCCGGUACCAGAUGAAUAAGCACCGGCUAACUCCGUGCCAGCAGCCGCGGUAAUACGGAGGGUGCGAGCGUUGUCCGGAUUUAUUGGGUUUAAAGGGUGCGUAGGCGGCUGAUUAAGUCAGCGGUGAAAGACUUCGGCUUAACCGGAGCAGUGCCGUUGAUACUGGUUGGCUUGAGUGUCGGAGGGGUACAUGGAAUUGAUGGUGUAGCGGUGAAAUGCAUAGAUACCAUCAGGAACACCGAUAGCGAAGGCAUUGUACUGGCCGACAACUGACGCUGAUGCACGAAAGUGUGGGGAUCGAACAGGAUUAGAUACCCUGGUAGUCCACACCGUAAACGAUGAUUACUCGCUGUUAUGGUGUAUGCUGUAGUGGCCAAGCGAAAGCGUUAAGUAAUCCACCUGGGGAGUACGCCGGCAACGGUGAAACUCAAAGGAAUUGACGGGGGUCCGCACAAGCGGUGGAGCAUGU